This 253-nucleotide ribosomal RNA is filed under the name uncultured bacterium. RNAcentral describes it as "partial 16S ribosomal RNA". It matches the Rfam family "Bacterial small subunit ribosomal RNA", at positions 524 to 776 of the family's 1533-position model. The record is from RNAcentral.
UACGUAGGGGGCAAGCGUUGUCCGGAUUUAUUGGGCGUAAAGAGCGUGUAGGCGGCUGGGUAGGUCCGUUGUGAAAACUCGAGGCUCAACCUCGAGACGCCGAUGGAAACCCUCCAGCUAGAGUCCGGAAGAGGAGAGUGGAAUUCCUGGUGUAGCGGUGAAAUGCGCAGAUAUCAGGAGGAACACCCGUGGCGAAAGCGGCUCUCUGGGACGGUACUGACGCUGAGACGCGAAAGCGUGGGGAGCGAACAGG